CCUACGGGAGGCAGCAGUGGGGAAUAUUGCACAAUGGGCGAAAGCCUGAUGCAGCGACGCCGCGUGAGGGAUGACGGCCUUCGGGUUGUAAACCUCUUUCAGCAGGGAAGAAGCGCAAGUGACGGUACCUGCAGAAGAAGCACCGGCUAACUACGUGCCAGCAGCCGCGGUAAUACGUAGGGUGCGAGCGUUGUCCGGAAUUAUUGGGCGUAAAGNGCUCGUAGGCGGCUUGUCGCGUCGGAUGUGAAAGCCCGGGGCUUAACUCCGGGUCUGCAUUCGAUACGGGCAGGCUAGAGUUCGGUAGGGGAGAUCGGAAUUCCUGGUGUAGCGGUGAAAUGCGCAGAUAUCAGGAGGAACACCGGUGGCGAAGGCGGAUCUCUGGGCCGAUACUGACGCUGAGGAGCGAAAGCGUGGGGAGCGAACAGGAUUAGAUACCCUGGUAGUCCACGCCGUAAACGUUGGGAACUAGGUAGUGGGCGACGAUUCCACGUCGUCCGUGCCGCAGCUAACGCAUUAAGUUCCCGCCUGGGGAGUACGGCCGCAAGGCUAAAACUUAAGGAAUUGACGG
Molecule: ribosomal RNA, 568 nt
Filed under: uncultured bacterium
Lineage: Bacteria
Description: bacterial SSU rRNA
Rfam family: Bacterial small subunit ribosomal RNA
Source: RNAcentral